GAUGAAGAACGCAGCGAAAUGCGAUACUUGGUGUGAAUUGCAGAAUCCCGUGAACCAUCGAGUCUUUGAACGCAAGUUGCGCCCGAAGCCAUUAGGCCGAGGGCACGCCUGCCUGGGCGUCACACGUCGUUGCCCCCCCAUCUACUCCUUCGGGGUUGCGGGGGGCGGAUGAUGGCCUCCCGUGCGCCUCGUCGCGCGGUUGGCAUAAAUACCAAGUCCUCGGCGACGCACGCCACGACAAUCGGUGGUUGCGAAACCUCGGUUGCCCGUCGUGUGCGGUCGUCGCGCAUCGAGGGCUCGAAAAAAUUGCCGGGCUCCGGCUCGGCUUUCAACGCGACCCCAGGUCAGGCGGGGUUACCCGCUGAAUUUAAGCAUAUCAAUAAGCGGAGGA
Molecule: unclassified non-coding RNA, 391 nt
Filed under: soil metagenome
Description: partial contains 5.8S ribosomal RNA, internal transcribed spacer 2, and large subunit ribosomal RNA
Rfam family: 5.8S ribosomal RNA (bases 1-122)
Source: RNAcentral